Long non-coding RNA from Sapajus apella (tufted capuchin), 846 nucleotides. RefSeq lists it as uncharacterized. The record is from RefSeq and is a predicted model, not a curated record. The transcript has 3 exons. NCBI's taxonomy places the organism in Eukaryota, Metazoa, Chordata, Mammalia, Primates, Cebidae.
AGGUAGUUGUGUGGAGCUGACCCACAGGGUGACGGAUGGUGAGGGUCCCCAGGAGGUUGUAUGGAGCUGAGCCACAGGGCGACGGAUGGUGAGGAUCCCCAGGAGGUUGUAUGGAGCUGAGCCACAGAGUGACGGAUGGUGAAGGUCCCCAGGAGGUCGUAUGGAGCUGAGCCACAGAGUGACGGACGGUGAGGGUCCCCAGGAGGUUGUAUGGAGCUGAGCCACAGGGCGAUGGAUGGUGAGGGUCCCCAGGAGGUCGUAUGGAGCUGAGCCACAGGGCGAUGGAUGGUGAGGGUCCCCAGGAGGUCGUAUGGAGCUGAGCCACAGGGCGAUGGAUGGUGAGGGUCCCCAGGAGGUCGUAUGGAGCUGAGCCACAGGGUGACGGAUGGUGAGGGUCUCCAGGAGGUUGCAUGGAGCUGAGCCACAGAGUGACGGAUGGUGAGGGUCCACAGGAAGUUGUAUGGAGCUGAGCCACAGGGCGACGGAUAGUGAGGAUGGCGACAGUUGGUGAGGGUCCCCAGGAGGCUGUGUGGAGAAGGAUAUUCUAAGCAAAGUUACAGCAUUAGAGGACAUGUUAUAACAACACCAACAUCAACACACAUUUGACAGUCAGUAGUUCAGCUUGGUAUAUAGUUCAGCUGCAGGUCUAAGCCUGUGGGAGUAGCUACAAAUGAAACUUGUUUUAGGAGUCCUGUUCAAUUCAUUAGAAGGGGGUUAAACUUUAUUUGCUGGAAAAUGGGUAAUUACCGAAGUGCAGGCUUGGUGUUUAGCCUGGAGAGCAGUAUCAAAAGCGCACUCGGGAGGUGACAGUGACAGCCGAAAGAGGAGCUGAUGCAGGUGAUGAGG